Molecule: ribosomal RNA, 279 nt
Filed under: uncultured bacterium
Lineage: Bacteria
Description: partial 16S ribosomal RNA
Rfam family: Bacterial small subunit ribosomal RNA
Source: RNAcentral
UGCCAGCCGCCGCGGUAAUACAUAUGUGGCGAGCGUUGUUCGGAAUCACUGGGCAUAAAGAGUUCGUAGGCGGCUAUAUUAGUUGGGUGUGAAAUCCUUGGGCUUACCCCAAGAACUGCAUCCAAUACUGUAUAGCUGGAGUUAUUGAGGGGGAAGUGGAAUUCCAUGUGUAGCGGUGAAAUGCGUAGAUAUAUGGGAGAACGCCAAUGGCGAAGGCAGCUUUCUGGACCGAUACUGACGCUGAGGCGCGAAGGCGUGGGUAGCGAACGGGAUUAGAUA